This 422-nucleotide unclassified non-coding RNA is filed under the name rhizosphere metagenome. Its description in RNAcentral is "partial ribosomal RNA internal transcribed spacer region". The record is from RNAcentral.
GUAGGUGAACCUGCGGAAGGAUCAUUAACACGUAUCCAACGUUAAAAACCCCCCCCGUGAAUGGUUGCAAUCCCUGGUAAAUCAUUGCCGAACAGUUUUGAUUCAGGGACAUCAAGCACGUUAGUAGAGGCGCUGCAACAGACGGGUUCCACGACCCCAAGGAGUCAAAAGCUGUCAGCAGUGAGGGAGUCAGUCAGGGGGUUGUUAAAGUGUUCCUGAUUGUCAUCUUGUAAGUUGAAAUUGAUUUUGUAGACCACCCCAGGUGGGUCACUGACGGCCGUGAUGGUGCCUAUAGGUACGAACUAGCGCCCUGACCUCUUGAAACGACAGGGGCGUAACCGGACCAAUUUUUAAUCUGCCCCUUACCCUAACAGGUACGGGUGUCAAACGAACAACUGUUAACAAUGGAUAUCUUGGUUCUC